CUGGCACCUCGGCCUGCGCAAACAGAUUGCUCGUCCUCCUCGGGGAAAGCUAGGAAAACAGUGCUAAGCCUUGCAAGCUGCCGCCCAUUAAUGCCUCUUAGCUUGCAAGAUGGGUUACUUGCUCAGAGCACAGCCCGCCCCUCUUGGCUUCUCACUUUCUCCUCCCCCUCGUCCCUUCUGUGUCCCACCCCCCCCUCGCUGCGGUACUCUCUCGCCUUCGCCCGCACUCUCCCUCCUCUCUUCCUUUUGUUUCCCGUUCUCCGAUUUUCCCCUCCUUUCCUCUUCCCUUCUUUGUCUUCCUCCUUUUCCCUCCCCUCGGUUUUCCUCUGUUCGGUUCCUCACUUCCUCUUCCUUCUCCUCUCCCCCUCCUCUUCGGCCCUCCGUGGCCCCUGGCCUCGCUCUCCACAGUCCCCCGGCUCAGAUUCGGUCCGGAGACUCCUGCCUGCCUCUCCCCUUCCCGAGUCGAUGGGGACAGGACCCUCCUGGAAGACGAAUAUGAUGAAAAAGGACAGAUAUCCACAUGGAACCGAGAGAUGGUGGGCUUUAGCAGAGUGUUGAGCAACCAGUAGUACCAUUAAUGAAGUGGGAGCCCAGACCCUGCAAUGGCCUGCAGCUUCUGGGGGAGGGGGGUUCCUCCUCACUUCCAUCCUCCAGGACCAAGUCCUACUAAAAAAUUAAAAGAACUUGGAAUAACUGAA
This is a long non-coding RNA of Ailuropoda melanoleuca (giant panda), 698 nucleotides long. RefSeq lists it as uncharacterized. Lineage: Eukaryota; Metazoa; Chordata; Mammalia; Carnivora; Ursidae. The transcript has 2 exons. The record is from RefSeq and is a predicted model, not a curated record.